CCUACGGGAGGCAGCAGUGGGGAAUAUUGCACAAUGGGGGAAACCCUGAUGCAGCGACGCCGCGUGAGUGAAGAAGUACUUCGUUAUGUAAAGCUCUAUCAGCAGGGAAGAAAAUGACGGUACCUGAGUAAGUAGCCCCGGCUAACUACGUGCCAGCAGCCGCGGGAAUACGUAGGGGGCAAGCGGUAUCCGGAUUUACUGGGUGUAAAGGGAGCAUAGACGGCAGUGCAAGUCUGGAGUGAAAGGCGGGGGCUCAACCCCCGGACUGCUCUGGAAACUGUACGGCUGGAGUGCAGGAGAGGUAAGUGGAAUUCCUAGUGUAGCGGUGAAAUGCGUAGAUAUUAGGAGGAACACCAGUGGCGAAGGCGGCUUACUGGACUGUAACUGACGUUGAGGCUCGAAAGCGUGGGGAGCAAACAGGAUUAGAUACCCGGGUAGUC
This 440-nucleotide ribosomal RNA is filed under the name uncultured bacterium. RNAcentral describes it as "partial 16S ribosomal RNA". It matches the Rfam family "Bacterial small subunit ribosomal RNA", at positions 338 to 795 of the family's 1533-position model. The record is from RNAcentral.